GGCGUGUGACUGCGUACCUUUUGUAUAAUGGGUCAGCGACUUAUAUUCUGUAGCAAGGUUAACCGAAUAGGGGAGCCGAAGGGAAACCGAGUCUUAACUGGGCGUUAAGUUGCAGGGUAUAGACCCGAAACCCGGUGAUCUAGCCAUGGGCAGGUUGAAGGUUGGGUAACACUAACUGGAGGACCGAACCGACUAAUGUUGAAAAAUUAGCGGAUGACUUGUGGCUGGGGGUGAAAGGCCAAUCAAACCGGGAGAUAGCUGGUUCUCCCCGAAAGCUAUUUAGGUAGCGCCUCGUGAAUUCAUCUCCGGGGGUAGAGCACUGUUUCGGCAAGGGGGUCAUCCCGACUUACCAACCCGAUGCAAACUACGAAUACCGGAGAAUGUUAUCACGGGAGACACACGGCGGGUGCUAACGUCCGUCGUGAAGAGGGAAACAACCCAGACCGCCAGCUAAGGUCCCAAAGUCAUGGUUAAGUGGGAAACGAUGUGGGAAGGCCCAGACAGCCAGGAUGUUGGCUUAGAAGCAGCCAUCAUUUAAAGAAAGCGUAAUAGCUCACUGGUCGAGUCGGCCUGCGCGGAAGAUGUAACGGGGCUAAACCAUGCACCG
This 607-nucleotide ribosomal RNA is filed under the name Escherichia coli. RNAcentral's name for it is "partial 23S ribosomal RNA". It matches the Rfam family "Bacterial large subunit ribosomal RNA", at positions 588 to 1196 of the family's 2925-position model. Lineage: Bacteria; Pseudomonadati; Pseudomonadota; Gammaproteobacteria; Enterobacterales; Enterobacteriaceae. The record is from RNAcentral.